AUUGGACGCUGGCGGCAGGCCUAACACAUGCAAGUCGAGCGGUAACACAGGGAGCUUGCUCCUGGGUGACGAGCGGCGGACGGGUGAGUAAUGUCUGGGAAACUGCCUGAUGGAGGGGGAUAACUACUGGAAACGGUAGCUAAUACCGCAUAACGUCGCAAGACCAAAGAGGGGGACCUUCGGGCCUCUUGCCAUCAGAUGUGCCCAGAUGGGAUUAGCUAGUAGGUGGGGUAACGGCUCACCUAGGCGACGAUCCCUAGCUGGUCUGAGAGGAUGACCAGCCACACUGGAACUGAGACACGGUCCAGACUCCUACGGGAGGCAGCAGUGGGGAAUAUUGCACAAUGGGCGCAAGCCUGAUGCAGCCAUGCCGCGUGUAUGAAGAAGGCCUUCGGGUUGUAAAGUACUUUCAGCGGGGAGGAAGGCGAUAAGGUUAAUAACCUUGUCGAUUGACGUUACCCGCAGAAGAAGCACCGGCUAACUCCGUGCCAGCAGCCGCCGUAA
Molecule: ribosomal RNA, 504 nt
Filed under: uncultured bacterium
Lineage: Bacteria
Description: partial 16S ribosomal RNA
Rfam family: Bacterial small subunit ribosomal RNA
Source: RNAcentral